This 940-nucleotide ribosomal RNA is filed under the name Psiloglonium clavisporum. RNAcentral's name for it is "SSU rRNA". It matches the Rfam family "Eukaryotic small subunit ribosomal RNA", at positions 111 to 1059 of the family's 1831-position model. Lineage: Eukaryota; Fungi; Ascomycota; Dothideomycetes; Hysteriales; Hysteriaceae. The record is from RNAcentral.
UAUCGUUUAUUUGAUAGUACCUUACUACUUGGAUAACCGUGGUAAUUCUAGAGCUAAUACAUGCUAAAAACCCCGACUUCGGGAGGGGUGUAUUUAUUAGAUAAAAAACCAAUGCCCUUCGGGGCUCUUUGGUGAGUCAUAAUAACUUAACGGAUCGCAUGGCCUUGCGCCGGCGACGGUUCAUUCAAAUUUCUGCCCUAUCAACUUUCGAUUGUAGGGUAGUGGCCUACAAUGGUUUCAACGGGUGACGGGGGAUUAGGGUUCGAUUCCGGAGAGGGAGCCUGAGAAACGGCUACCACAUCCAAGGAAGGCAGCAGGCGCGCAAAUUACCCAAUCCCGACACGGGGAGGUAGUGACAAUAAAUACUGAUACAGGGCUCUUUUGGGUCUUGUAAUUGGAAUGAGUACAAUUUAAAUCCCUUAACGAGGAACAAUUGGAGGGCAAGUCUGGUGCCAGCAGCCGCGGUAAUUCCAGCUCCAAUAGCGUAUAUUAAAGUUGUUGCAGUUAAAAAGCUCGUAGUUGAACCUUGGGCCUGGCUGGCCGGUCCGCCUCACCGCGUGCACUGGUCCGGCCGGGCCUUUCCUUCUGGAGAACCGCAUGCCCUUUACUGGGUGUGUCGGGGAACCAGGACUUUUACUUUGAAAAAAUUAGAGUGUUCAAAGCAGGCCUUUGCUCGAAUACGUUAGCAUGGAAUAAUAGAAUAGGACGUGCGGUCCUAUUUUGUUGGUUUCUAGGACCGCCGUAAUGAUUAAUAGGGAUAGUCGGGGGCAUCAGUAUUCAAUUGUCAGAGGUGAAAUUCUUGGAUUUAUUGAAGACUAACUACUGCGAAAGCAUUUGCCAAGGAUGUUUUCAUUAAUCAGUGAACGAAAGUUAGGGGAUCGAAGACGAUCAGAUACCGUCGUAGUCUUAACCGUAAACUAUGCCGACUAGGGAUCGGGCG